UUAAGAAUAUUGCGCAAUGGGCGAAAGCCUGACGCAGCAAUGCCGCGUGAGUGAUGAAGGCUCUAGGGUUGUAAAACUCAGUGAGAUGGGAAGAAUAAGCAUGGUCGAAUAGGCCAUGUGAUGACGGUACCAUCCUGAAGCCCCGGCUAAUUACGUGCCAGCAGCCGCGGUAAUACGUAUGGGGCAAGCGUUGUUCGGAUUUAUUGGGCGUAAAGGGCACGCAGGCGGAUCAUUAAGUUGGGUGUUUAACCUUCAGGCUCAACCUGAAGUCGGCACCCAAAACUGGUAAUCUAGAGUCAUGGAGAGGAAAGCGGAAUUCUCGGUGUAGCGGUGGAAUGCGUAGAUAUCGAGAGGAACACUAGUGGCGAAGGCGAGACUCUGGACGACAACUGACGCUGAGAGACGAAGGCCAGGGG
RNAcentral lists this ribosomal RNA (416 nucleotides) under uncultured bacterium. RNAcentral's name for it is "bacterial SSU rRNA". It matches the Rfam family "Bacterial small subunit ribosomal RNA", at positions 355 to 766 of the family's 1533-position model. The record is from RNAcentral.